UACGAAGGGGGCUAGCGUUGUUCGUAAUUACUGGGCGUAAAGCGCACGUAGGCGGAUUUGCCAGUCAGGGGUGAAAUCCCGGGGCUCAACCUCGGAACUGCCUCUGAUACAGCAAGUCUUGAGUCCGGAAGAGGUGGGUGGAAUUCCUAGUGUAGAGGUGAAAUUCGUAGAUAUUAGGAAGAACACCAGUGGCGAAGGCGGCCCACUGGUCCGGUACUGACGCUGAGGUGCGAAAGCGUGGGGAGCAAACAGG
This 253-nucleotide ribosomal RNA is filed under the name uncultured bacterium. Its description in RNAcentral is "partial 16S ribosomal RNA". It matches the Rfam family "Bacterial small subunit ribosomal RNA", at positions 524 to 776 of the family's 1533-position model. The record is from RNAcentral.